AUCAUGGCUCAGAACGAACGCUGGCGGCAGGCCUAACACAUGCAAGUCGAACGCCCCGCAAGGGAAGUGGCAGACGGGUGAGUAACGCGUGGGAACAUACCCUUCGGUUCGGAAUAGCUCAGGGAAACUUGGAUUAAUACCGGAUACGUCCGCAAGGAGAAAGAUUUAUCGCCGAAGGAUUGGCCCGCGUCUGAUUAGCUAGUUGGUGAGGUAAUGGCCCACCAAGGCGACGAUCAGCAGCUGGUCUGAGAGGAUGAUCAGCCACAUUGGGACUGAGACACGGCCCAAACUCCUACGGGAGGCAGCAGUGGGGAAUAUUGGACAAUGGGCGAAAGCCUGAUCCAGCCAUGCCGCGUGAGUGAUGAAGGCCUUAGGGUUGUAAAGCUCUUUUACCUGGGAAGAUAAUGACGGUACCAGGAGAAUAAGCCCCGGCUAA
RNAcentral lists this ribosomal RNA (436 nucleotides) under uncultured bacterium. Its description in RNAcentral is "bacterial SSU rRNA". It matches the Rfam family "Bacterial small subunit ribosomal RNA", at positions 16 to 500 of the family's 1533-position model. The record is from RNAcentral.